GUAGGUGGCAAGCGUUGUCCGGAUUUACUGGGCGUAAAGCGAACGCAGGCGGACCUUUAAGUAGGAAGUGAAAGGUUGGAGCUCAACUCUAACACUGCUCCCUAUACUGGAGGUCUUGAGUGCCGGAGAGGAAGACGGAACAAGUUGUGUAGCGGUGAAAUGCGUUGAUAUAACUUGGAACACCAAUGGCGAAAGCAGUCUUCUGGACGGAUACUGACGCUCAGGUUCGAAAGCCAAGGUAGCAAACAGGAUUAGAUACCCUGGUAGUCUUGGCCUUAAACGAUGUUCACUAGGUGUUGGGGGGUAACCCUCGGUGCCGCAGCUAACGCAUUAAGUGAACCGCCUGGGGACUACGGCCGCAAGGUUG
This 367-nucleotide ribosomal RNA is filed under the name uncultured bacterium. RNAcentral's name for it is "bacterial SSU rRNA". It matches the Rfam family "Bacterial small subunit ribosomal RNA", at positions 527 to 896 of the family's 1533-position model. The record is from RNAcentral.